Molecule: ribosomal RNA, 500 nt
Filed under: Mycolicibacterium rhodesiae
Lineage: Bacteria; Bacillati; Actinomycetota; Actinomycetes; Mycobacteriales; Mycobacteriaceae
Description: bacterial SSU rRNA
Rfam family: Bacterial small subunit ribosomal RNA
Source: RNAcentral
UGGAGAGUUUGAUCCUGGCUCAGGACGAACGCUGGCGGCGUGCUUAACACAUGCAAGUCGAACGGAAAGGCCCUUCGGGGUACUCGAGUGGCGAACGGGUGAGUAACACGUGGGUGAUCUGCCCUGCACUUUGGGAUAAGCCUGGGAAACUGGGUCUAAUACCGAAUAGGACUACGGCCUUCAUGGGUUGUGGUGGAAAGCUUUUGCGGUGUGGGAUGGGCCCGCGGCCUAUCAGCUUGUUGGUGGGGUAAUGGCCUACCAAGGCGACGACGGGUAGCCGGCCUGAGAGGGUGACCGGCCACACUGGGACUGAGAUACGGCCCAGACUCCUACGGGAGGCAGCAGUGGGGAAUAUUGCACAAUGGGCGCAAGCCUGAUGCAGCGACGCCGCGUGAGGGAUGACGGCCUUCGGGUUGUAAACCUCUUUCAGCAGGGACGAAGCGCAAGUGACGGUACCUGUAGAAGAAGGACCGGGCAACUACGUGCCAGCAGCCGCGGUA